CCAUGGCGACUGGUUCGGCGACAUGGCAUAGUACAAGGACCAGCAAGGCGAGAGAAGUAGGAGACAAGGGCAAAGCAUGCAAACCUGUUGUGGGCUGAUAGACAGGGUGGCCUCAACCGGUGCUAUAGCCGGCGGUGUUUCCUUUUGGGCUGUCUCGAUGCCAUGGUCCUCACUGGUCACUGCAGAGUACUGGCAUGAGCGGCGGACUACACAACCCUUCCAGCGAUGGCAACGGACGAACCGGCGGGAGACACUACAGCAACCAGCAAACCAAGGCAACGGGAGGGGCGGUCAGAGAGAGAGAGAGAGACGGCAUGGUGGCGACCUGCGAGCAUAUGAUUCCUUGUUAAUAAAUAUCAUAUGGAAUUAUGAGAGAAAAAUGAAUAAUCGAAUAAGGAUCAAAGCUGACCUUUUCAAAGUUAUGUGGAUUAAAAUGUAGGACGGCCCACACAACCCUCCCGACGAGGGCGAGGGGCAAGCCAGCAGGAGACACGGCGGUGACCAGCAUGCCAAGUCAAUGGGAGGAGAGGCAGUCAGAGAGAGAAAGACAACAGACAUUGACCUACAAUAGUACAGAGUAGACAGUAAAUAUCAUAUGCCAUUCUGAGGAACAGAGGAAAUGAGCAAUCAAAUAAGGUCCAAAGCUGACCUUCUUAAAGUUAUAUGGAUUCCAAUCUAGAACGAUCUUCUCGUGCCAAUUCAGAGCGAGGUGUGAAGAGUGCACAUCAUCAUCGAAAUAGAAUCUCACCAUAGGUGUGUCUCGCCAUCAUAAUAAAAAAAAUCCAUAACCCAAAUGGACCAACAAAGUGCAAAUUACUCUUUACCAGACUAAAUUAAGAACCAACAACAGAUCGACGAAUGCAACAACAGAUCCAGCACAUAAACGGAAAGAACAGAAGAUUUGCAGGCACAUGAGAUCUAAAAUCAAUCAGUUAUUGCUAUUUUCUUUAUUCAUUAGCCAUGCCGCCAAGUUGCCACAACCUGGUCGCCCCAUCCAGUGUGCAAAUUUACUUCAUAUCAAACAAAAAAGGCACCAGGGACAUGAGAAAGCAUGGUAGACAAAGCAUUGAAAAUGUAAGAGAAAAUGUAAUCAGGAGGAAAGCUAACUAAUCUUGCAAUUUGAUCUGUUCAAUAUAUUUACUUUUCAGUACUGCCUG
Molecule: long non-coding RNA, 1157 nt
Filed under: Triticum aestivum (bread wheat)
Lineage: Eukaryota; Viridiplantae; Streptophyta; Magnoliopsida; Poales; Poaceae
Description: long non-coding RNA (TAES_LNC021990)
Source: RNAcentral